CACGUAGGGCGCAAGCGUUGUCCGGAAUUAUUGGGCGUAAAGAGCUCGUAGGCGGUCUGUUGCGUCUGCUGUGAAAACCCGGGGCUUAACCCCUGGCUUGCAGUGGAUACGGACAGACUAGAGGUAGGUAGGGGAGAAUGGAAUUCCCGGUGUAGCGGUGAAAUGCGCAGAUAUCGGGAGGAACACCGGUGGCGAAGGCGGCUCUCUGGGCCUUUCCUGACGCUGAGACGCGAAAGCGUGGGGAGCGAACCGG
This 253-nucleotide ribosomal RNA is filed under the name uncultured bacterium. RNAcentral's name for it is "partial 16S ribosomal RNA". It matches the Rfam family "Bacterial small subunit ribosomal RNA", at positions 524 to 776 of the family's 1533-position model. The record is from RNAcentral.